Molecule: ribosomal RNA, 3138 nt
Filed under: Triticum aestivum (bread wheat)
Lineage: Eukaryota; Viridiplantae; Streptophyta; Magnoliopsida; Poales; Poaceae
Description: partial small subunit ribosomal RNA
Source: RNAcentral
AUGGCGGCGGCGGAGAGCACGGCGCUGCCGGCGGACCCCCGGCGCGUCCGCAACACGUGCAUCCUGGCGCACGUCGACCACGGGAAGACCACGCUGGCGGACCACCUCGUGGCCUCCUGCGGCGACGGCCUCCUCCACCCCAGGCUCGCCGGCCGCCUCCGCUUCAUGGACUACCUCGACGAGGAGCAGCGCCGGGCCAUCACCAUGAAGUCCGCCGCCGUGCUCCUCCGCUACGGCGACGGCCCCGCCGCGCACCGGGUCAACCUCAUCGACUCCCCGGGCCACAUCGACUUCUGCUCCGAGGUCUCCUCCGCCGCGCGCCUCUCCGACUCGGCGCUCAUCCUCGUCGACGCCGUCGAGGGCGUCCACAUCCAGACCCACGCCGCGCUGCGCCAGGCCUUCCUCGAGCGCCUCCGCCCCUGCCUCGUCCUCAACAAGCUCGACCGCCUCAUCACCGAGCUCCACCUCACCCCCGCCGAGGCCUAUACGCGCCUGCACCGCAUCCUCGCCGACGUCAACUCCAUCUACUCCGCGCUGCGCUCGCACUCCUACUUCUCCGUCCUCGCGUCCCUCGAGGACCAACCGUCCUCCAGCUCGUCAGCCUCGCCGGACGAUCUCCCGGACGAUGCUGAUGACGACGAGGAGGACGCCUUCCAGCCCCAAAAGGGCAAUGUCGUCUUCGCCUGCGCCCUCGAUGGCUGGGGCUUCCGCAUCCACCACUUCGCAGAGUUGUACGCCACCAAGCUUGGCGCCAGCGCCUCUGCUUUGCUGAGAGGGUUUUGGGGGCCGCGAUACUUGGACAAAAAGGUGGAUAAGAAGGGUAAGAAGAAUUUUAUGAUUGUGGGAAAGAAGGCGGUGGAGGGUACUGACCGGGAGCCCAUGUUUGUGGAGUUCAUUCUGAAGCCCCUAUGGAAAUUGUAUGAGGGAGUACUGGGGCAGGACGGGGAGAUAGUUCAGAAGGUCAUUAACAACUUCAAAUUGAACAUUCCGCAGCGGGAGCUGCAGAACAAGGACCCAAAGUUAGUUUUGCAGUCUGUGAUGAGCCGGUGGCUGCCGCUGGCAGAUGCAGUGAUGGCAAUGGUGGUCGAAUGCACUCCUGACCCUGUUGUCGCUCAAGGGGCCAGGGUUGCAAGGCUUAUGCCAAAGAGGGAGCUUGCAGCAGAGGAUGCUGCUGAUUGCGCUGAGGUUUUCUUGGAGGCAGAGAGGGUGAGAAGGUGUGUGGAGACCUGUGACGCGGGUGCAGAUUCACCGGUGGUGGUGUAUGUGUCCAAGAUGUUUGCGGUGCCAUGUAAGAUGUUACCACCGAAGGGGGUGCACGGUGAGUUGUUGAACCACCAGGAUGCAAGUGAAUCAGAGGAGUGUUUUAUGGCAUUUGCGAGAGUGUUCAGCGGGGUUCUUCAUGCAGGGCAGAAGGUUUUUGUGCUGUCGGCAUUGUACGAUCCACUGAAAGGGGAUGCAGUGCAGAAGCAUGUACAGGAGAUUGAGCUGCAAUACUUGUAUGAAAUGCUGGGACAGGGCUUGAGGCCAGUUGCCAGUGUGAGUGCUGGGAAUGUGGUUGCAAUUCAGGGCCUUGGGCAGCAUAUAUUGAAGAGUGCCACAUUGUCAUCCACCAAGAAUUGCUGGCCCUUCUCAAGUAUGAUGUUCCAGGUGUCUCCGAUGCUUAAGGUUGCAAUUGAGCCCGCCAACCCGACGGAUCUGGGAGCUCUUGUUAAAGGGAUCAAGCUUCUUAACCGAGCAGACCCAUUUGUUGAGUACACUGUCACGCACAGGGGUGAACAUAUCCUUGCCGCAGCUGGGGAGGUUCAUUUGGAGCGGUGCAAAAAGGAUCUGGAGGAAAGGUUUGCAAAGGUUAAAUUGGUCGUUUCGGACCCCCUGGUCUCCUUUAAAGAGACGAUCGAAGGAGAAGGUGCUGGCUUAUUGGAAGGCUUGAAGGCUCCGCAUGCAUUUGUUGAGAGGACUACUCCAAACGGGAGAUGCACUGUGAGAGUUCAGGUCCUAAGGCUUCCCAAUGCUCUGACCAAGGUCCUCCAAGAAAGUGAUCAAUUGCUUGGUCAAAUAAUGGAGGGGAAAACAGCAAAGAGGAAUGUAAUGUCAAACCCACAAAUUUCUCAAGAUGAUUGUGAUUCUGUUGCGAUGCUUAGGCAGCGCAUGGUCAGUGCCAUAGACAGUGAAUUGGAAGCCAUUUCUGAGCAAGUGGAUAAGGAAAAACUUCAGAAGUGUAGAAAGACAUGGCUUGGGUACCUCAAAAGGAUCUGGUCCUUGGGUCCUUGGCAGGUUGGCCCAAACUUCCUUCUCUUGCCUGAUGUUGAAUCAAGUGAUGGUGUGAUAACCAUGGAAGAUGGAAGGCAAGGUAUUCUUGUGCGUGGUAGAGCAGAUUUUUCUGAGAGAUUGGGGUUUGUGAGUGGAUCUGAUGCUGAAGCUAACCAUACUCCUGACAGCACUAAAUCAUCAGCAGAUACUCCUGAAUCGUUACAUCUAGAAUCUGUGGCACUAAGGAACAGCAUUCUUUCAGGAUUUCAGUUUGCCACGAAUGCAGGGCCUUUAUGUGAUGAACCAAUGUGGGGUCUGGCAUUUAUCAUUGAGCCUUACAUAUUUGCUGACAACUCUGAUGCUGCCCAUCAAUCUGAUCAAUACAACAUCUUCAGUGGCCAAGUAAUAACUGCAGUUAAAGAAGCAUGCCGAGCAGCCGUUCUUCAGAACAACCCAAGGCUUGUCGAAGGCAUGUAUUUCUGUGAAUUGACCACCCCGACUCAGCAACUAGGUUCAACAUAUGCAGUUCUUGGUAGGAGACGAGCGAAGAUUUUGAAAGAAGAGAUGCAAGAAGGGACUUCAGUAUUUACAGUGCACGCUUACUUGCCUGUUGCCGAGAGCAUUGGAUUUUCUAGUCAGCUCAGGACCUUAACAUCAGGUGCAGCCAGUGCGCUGCUUGUUCUUAGCCACUGGGAUGCUAUUCAGGAGGACCCUUUUUUCAUCCCAAAGUCACAGGAGGAGAUUGAAGAAUUUGGAGAUGGGGCAAGCAUUGGGCCAAACUUGGCUAAGAAGCUUAUGAAUUCUGUGAGGCGGAGGAAAGGAUUGCAUGUUGAAGAGAAAGUUGUGGAGCAUGGCACGAAACAGCGAACUCUCUCUAGGAAAACAUAG